This 119-nucleotide ribosomal RNA is filed under the name Olea europaea subsp. europaea. The record is from RNAcentral. Lineage: Eukaryota; Viridiplantae; Streptophyta; Magnoliopsida; Lamiales; Oleaceae.
UGGUGCGACCAUACCAGCGCUAACGCGCCGGAUCCCAUCAGAACUUCGGAUUUAAGCGUGCUCGGGGGAGGGUAGUCCUAGGAUGGUUGACCCCCUGGAAAGUCCUCGUGUUGCACUCC